Molecule: long non-coding RNA, 1206 nt
Organism: Lagenorhynchus albirostris (white-beaked dolphin)
Lineage: Eukaryota; Metazoa; Chordata; Mammalia; Artiodactyla; Delphinidae
Exons: 3
Source: RefSeq, a predicted model, not a curated record
UGAGCCGGUACCAUUGACUCUCCGGUUGCCCGGGAGCCCCUCAGAAGCUGACAAUGCGAGGGGUCUCUGUUCCUUUUCUCUUCUAUUCUCGCCUAAGCUCCAGCUCUGCCUGACCCAGCGGCCAGCAGCCUGUCGGGUACAGCAGAAGCUCCCAAGUAGCUGAGAAGUUCGUGGAAUCUUCCUAUUGAUUUUCCCUUCCCCCAAUCAGAAACUUUUUGAAAAGCCUCUGAGGAGAGUCAGGACCCCUGAAAGGAGCACAUCGAGGCAGCAUCGCGUGGCAGUUUGGCGUGGGGACUCUGGGAGUCGGCAGGUGCCUGACACCCUGCGGUAAGUGCCUGGUCAGUUGUUACCAUCAGAAUCUCUGUCAUCCCCAGUUCUGACACCAAUUGCUCUGUUUCCUUGGACAAAUUAGUUCAUUUCUGUGGUCCCCCUGUUCCUCCCAUGCCAGCGGGGCCCUCGACAGUUAGUAACUCCAGCGAAGCCCGAAAACGCAACACAAGCAGUGCAAAGGCAAUGCCAGUGAUCAAAAUAACCCACCCCGCUUGCCAUGUAGAUGGAUAAUAUCAUUUCACUGGGGACUGCUCUCAGUAAGUGGGCUCUUUUUUCUCUGAAGAGCCUGGAAUCUGUUCCUCAGGGCUGCUAAAACUGGCCUUGUUCUGCGGUCUGAUCCGCUGGCCGACCUGUGUCUACAUUACUAAAACUGGCCGGGGGCCCUGGCACCGUCCCGCCACGUGGGCCGCCAAAUCGCAAGGCCCUUUCUUUUGAGCAAAUAGCAUCGCACACGUUGCCAUCAAGAAAACGAAAGCAUUCACAGUGGCACAGCGUCCAGCUUCUCUCUGUGGCCUUUUGAAACAGUUUUGUGACCAGGGAGUGGCAAGAAACAAAGGUCUUUCUAUCUGCUCUGCUCACCAGGCCGGCGUCAGAUCAUGCAGGAGCCUGCACCCCUCUUCCCCUGGUACCAUCGGAUUGUUAUCGCUGCGCUUGUCUCCUCUCUCUGAGUAGGACGAGGCAGGCAGGCAGGCAGAGGAAUAUAUUUCAACUGCCCUUGACUCUGUUUAUAAUCACAAACAUGAAAGGAAGGGAAAGAGAUUGAGUUUAUAGGACUGGCUCUUUGUGUAGCCUAAUUUAUCUCUCUCCAGCAGCAGUGGGCUGAGCAGGUUUCCUUUUUUGUUUCCGAUGCGGGAAGCUGAAAUAUGAAUCUAUGUU